Oncorhynchus keta (chum salmon) is the source of this 438-nucleotide long non-coding RNA. RefSeq lists it as uncharacterized. The transcript has 3 exons. The record is from RefSeq and is a predicted model, not a curated record. NCBI's taxonomy places the organism in Eukaryota, Metazoa, Chordata, Actinopteri, Salmoniformes, Salmonidae.
CAAAAAAUAAGCUAUUUUCUUUACUUUCAGAGUGCAAACUGAUAAAGGGGUCGCAAAUGUAGAUAUUGCCAGAUGUUCACUGUCCGAGGAACAGGCCGCGGGAAGCUUUAUUGCUGGCAGAUGUGUCCAUAACCAGAGAUUAUAUCAGGUGUUUUGGUGAACCCCUCCCGCAUCUGAACUGGCUAACACAGAGGGAACAGCAUGAUCAUAGGUAUGUUUUAAUGUGAGAGAGGAAGCCAGUCCCGUCAUCGCCACCACACCCGCUCUUAAGAUAACCUUUGGGCCAACUGGGGUCCCAAGGCUGGUUAGGAGACACUGCUAGAAACACUGUAAUUGUGAUGAACUGAGAGAAUAUUAGGGUAGCACUAUAGUUCAUUAAUCAUAUGCUGUCUACCUCUUUUCUUACCUCCUUCCUUUUCUGUCUUCUACAUCUCUCUC